CCUGCGGAGGGAUCAUUACCGAGUUUACAACUCCCAAACCCCUGUGAACAUACCAAUUGUUGCCUCGGCGGAUCAGCCCGCUCCCGGUAAAACGGGACGGCCCGCCAGAGGACCCCUAAACUCUGUUUCUAUAUGUAACUUCUGAGUAAAACCAUAAAUAAAUCAAAACUUUCAACAACGGAUCUCUUGGUUCUGGCAUCGAUGAAGAACGCAGCAAAAUGCGAUAAGUAAUGUGAAUUGCAGAAUUCAGUGAAUCAUCGAAUCUUUGAACGCACAUUGCGCCCGCCAGUAUUCUGGCGGGCAUGCCUGUUCGAGCGUCAUUUCAACCCUCAAGCCCAGCUUGGUGUUGGGACUCGCGAGUCAAAUCGCGUUCCCCAAAUUGAUUGGCGGUCACGUCGAGCUUCCAUAGCGUAGUAGUAAAACCCUCGUUACUGGUAAUCGUCGCGGCCACGCCGUUAAACCCCAACUUCUGAAUGUGACC
RNAcentral lists this ribosomal RNA (481 nucleotides) under Fusarium sp. AS317. Its description in RNAcentral is "eukaryotic LSU rRNA". The stretch from base 167 to 320 matches the Rfam family "5.8S ribosomal RNA". RNAcentral also lists the same sequence under 2 other names. The record is from RNAcentral. Lineage: Eukaryota; Fungi; Ascomycota; Sordariomycetes; Hypocreales; Nectriaceae.